GAGGGGUGGCAGAGUGGUUGAAUGCGGCGGUCUCGAAAACCGUUUAGCACUUCGGUGCUACGAGGGUUCGAAUCCCUCCUCCUCC
RNAcentral lists this transfer RNA (85 nucleotides) under bovine gut metagenome. It matches the Rfam family "tRNA". From Rfam's summary of the family: Transfer RNA (tRNA) molecules are approximately 80 nucleotides in length. Their secondary structure includes four short double-helical elements and three loops (D, anti-codon, and T loops). Further hydrogen bonds mediate the characteristic L-shaped molecular structure. tRNAs have two regions of fundamental functional importance: the anti-codon, which is responsible for specific mRNA codon recognition, and the 3' end, to which the tRNAs corresponding amino acid is attached (by aminoacyl-tRNA synthetases). tRNAs cope with the degeneracy of the genetic code in two manners: having more than one tRNA (with a specific anti-codon) for a particular amino acid; and 'wobble' base-pairing, i.e. permitting non-standard base-pairing at the 3rd anti-codon position. The record is from RNAcentral.